RNAcentral lists this long non-coding RNA (11622 nucleotides) under Marmota monax (woodchuck). The record is from RNAcentral. Lineage: Eukaryota; Metazoa; Chordata; Mammalia; Rodentia; Sciuridae.
CUCAUGAAAUGUGGUACCAAAACAUCAAUGAAGCCUUACCAGGCACUAUAACUGUUAAGAGUAAAGGUAAGGGUUGAUAAAGAUUACAGGGAAAUUUUGGAUAAUAAUUGGCAUGUUCAACAAGGCUUUAUGUAAACAAGUUUCGUGUCCUUUACCUGAAUUUUUGAUGGGAAUGAAUAUUAUGUCUGGCUUGGAAAUACUUACUGAACUUGGUAUUAUAAUGCAAAAAUCUGCUGAGGAAUUUGCAAUGGAGGUGACAGUGAGAAAUGUAAAGUCAAUGAAAUUAAGGUUAAAUUUCAGAAGAGAAUUCUUGUGCUUGAAUACAUUUCACUUGAAGUGGUUGCAUCUCUUUUGUCUGAUUAUAUUAUGAGAUGGACUUUCAUAUAUUACUGGAUAAUAUUUUUCAUAUCUAGUAUUGCAAAGCAGAGAUGUGUUAAUCUGCCCUAAUAAUUGGACAUGCUAAAUGAUACUCAACAUGAUUACCUGAAUCCACAUAAUGUAGAACAGAAGCUGGUGUGUUAGUUGGGACAAAUUCUAUGUAUAAUAGUCACACACGGAAACUGUAAGCUAUGAGCACCUCUCAGCAAUUACUAAGUGGUUCUUAGAAGUAGAGAAUUUUCAUUUGAGGGACAUUUUCUACCAUGCUAUUGUAUAUUAAUUGAAAUUACUCCUACAACUAUCGGACAUAAAAUAAUCUUGAAUCCUCAAAUCCUCCUGAUGUUAGGUGAUCAGAGAAACAUUCUAAUGGGGUGACAAUGCACAUAUUUCCAUAAUGAUGUACUUUGUUUCCAGAAUGGCCCCCUAAAUUGUAUGUGUUGAAAGCUAGGCACCCCAUGAAGCAGAGUUCAGAGGUGGGGUCUUUGGAAGGUGAUUGUAUUAUAAAUGUUCUCACAUGGGGAUUGGAUUAACCACUUAAUUCAUAGCUUAAUUGUCUAUUUGGAAUCUUUAGGAGGUGAGACCUAGUUGGAAGACCCAGGCAAGCCUUUCAAUGGCAUAUUCUGUGCCCUGUUUUUUUUUUGUUGUUGUUGUUUGUUUGUUUGUUUGUUUUCUAUCUCUUCCCUUCCUGGCCACCAUGUGAACAACUUUCCUCUACCAAAUGAUUCCUGCCUUGGUUUUCUGUCCUACGACAGGUCCAGAAACAAUAGAAACAUGUGACCAGAAACUGAAAUCUUUGAAAUUGUGAAAAUGAAUAUUUUCUUCUGUUGGUUUUCUCAGGUGUUAUCUCAAAGCAGUGGAAAACUUAUUAACUCACAUAAUAAAAUAGAAAUGUUUUAUAUAGACUCUUGAUACUGGGAAAAUGCUAGGAGAUAUUCACAAUCAAGGAGGCUCUUUUUCCCCUAGGACUAAAUUUGGAACUACAUAGGGAGCUGCCAGUUUCUUUCAUCAUUUGGACAGUGCCUUAUAAACAGAUCUUAACUGAUCAAUAGAGCUGUUUGGUUUGUAGAUGGCAGUUCUAAGGUCAAGGAAAAGGAUCCUGUUUCAAAGACCACUUCUGAUUAAAAUUGGUAAAAACCAAUCAUUUUGGUAGGUUGAAUUACAUUCUUGAAGUGAUGGUAAAAUUGAAUUGUGAUUAAAAUCGCCUGUGUUUGAGAUUUUAUUGACUCGUGGCCUGUGCCACACGGUCAAGUAGAAGGACAAUGGAACAUUUUUCUAAUAAAAGGAUGUUUAUAUGGGGAACAGACUAUGGAAAUCUCUAUUGGAAUCUGAGAUGUUCAUUAAAGUAGGAGCAGUUGAUUUCUAUUAGAAUCCACUAAGGAUUGGAACCACUAAGUGGAUCCCUUGGUGCACUACUUUGAGGUAGCCAUCUGGCAACAUGACAUGGGUGGAACUUGGGAAGGGGGUGAGUAUAGCAAUGUAGAAAUAAGUUGAAUCAAGAUAUAUUCCUCUUAUACCCUAAAAAGCAUAAAAGACCAGUAAGAACUGUUUAGUUUGUUAAUAAAAGAGACAGAGAUUACAAAUGGCUUUGUGGGUAGAUCUCCUGGGAAAGGGCUCUGAAAUUAGCUAGCAAGAUUUAUGUCAGUAACUCCAGGGGGGCUAAAAAUGGGGAUGAUCAGAAACAGACACUGACUCUGGCCUGUGCAUUUAUAUCCAGGAUAAGGUGCAAAGGCUCAGAUAGAACCAGAAUAUAAAGUAUUGCACCAAUUUGGAAGGUUGGUCACCUUCUAUUCAGACCAAGAAACACACUUUAGCCCAUAAUGUCCAACAGUGAACUACAGUUUGACAGAAUUAUAAAGGGCAAUUGAAACAUUGAUUAUAUAUGUAGGAGUGGAAGGAAAUCUCAACCCCCAAAGGUAUAAACUUUGAGGCUACUAAAACAAACUAAGAAAAGACAGAUUAAUGUAAAAAGGGGGUGCACAUUGAUUAGCAUGUCAAUGCAGGAGAAUCACACAAAUCUAGAAAAGGUAAUAUGAGUUUACUGGAUGAUAACACUUUAUAGUUUUCUAUGAAAGCCAUAGAAGUGCCAGAUGACUGAGACUUGAAUAACCUUUUUAUAGGAGACAAGGAAGUGGGGACUCAAGGCAUUUUUAAAUGGAGAAUAAAUGAUUUUUAUAGGAGAUAAAUGGGCUUGAAGAAUAAUCAAAGUUCACCUAAGAAAAAAUUGACCGGGUCUCUGGGUGAUGUGUCCACACUGAUCCUUCCUCUUUUGAGUUAAUCUUCUUUAGUUAAUGAAAUUUGUGGGGAGGGAGCAUUCAAAACUAUUGUAUUCCUUCUUGAAGGACUUCCUUCAUCAGAUGAGGGAAUUUCAGAGAAUGAUUCCUUUUAUCUUGAGGGGGGCGGGGAAAGGAAGGGAGAAAUGAGAAGGUAUCAUUUUUCUGAACCCCAUAUCUAAAAUGUGGUGGGAGAUAUAGGCAGAAGGGCUGGCUCACAUUCCUUCAUGAAUGUGUACUCACACCCAACAUGGCAACCAGGGGGUGAUGUGGGAGUAUCUUCUCUGCAUAGAUUAUCCUGUUUUGAUUUAGGAAAGAGGGGUACACGGGUAUGCCUGCGUUUCUUCCAAGGGUGGAGCAUACUGGUAUGAUGACCAUGCUUUUCUUUCUUCUUAGCAAAUGUUUGAACUGUAAGAAGGAGUUAUGGAAAACUUUUAUUUAUGCUCAAUAAGCCAGAAAUACUAGUGAUAACUGGGACUUGCAAAUGUCAAUUGAAACGGGGGCAGUCUUAAGGGACUGAAUCCUCAAUCAGAGAGUCUGAGCUAAUUCUGAGAUGAAUUUUUUAACACCCAGGUAGAGUCUAGAAAAUUGGAGAAUUAUCUGUGGGUAUUGAAAUUUAUCCCAGAAAAGGUAAUAUGAGUUUACUGGAUGAUAACAUUUUCCAGUUGGAAAGAAACCUGGCCACUGGCUAACUCCAAUUUUUGCUUACUGUAGAUGAGAAAAACAUGAUAGAAAUUGGUGUAUCUAGGUUCUAUCUAUUAGUGCAUACAACGCAUACAACCAGUAGAAAGAACAAUUUACUCCUCAUACAGGCAUCUUUUUAUUUUUAAUAUUUUCUAUACAUUAAUUACUUGUAAAAAGCAGUCACAUCCUCAAAUUAUAUUACAUGUAAUGAAGGACUCAAGUAAGUCAAGACCAUAAACUUUUAGUAUAUUAAUAAAGAAGACAUUCUAACAUCCUUAGUCUGGCAAAAUAAUCCAUUCUUCCCACAUCUGCCACAUUUUAAUAAUGACGAGUCCAAUAACAAAACUUAACCCAUAUCUUCAAAAACAUGGAGACCUAGUGCCACGAUUAUAUUGCUUUAAUUCAUGGUUUUACUCUCAUUUUCUCUCCCUGUGAUUUUUAUUAACUCAGUCUUUCUCAGUGUUUGUUUGUGAAUGUUUAUUGAGAACUUAAAUUCAGGGUAAUUUGGGCUGUAUUCUUAUUACCUUAUUUAGUCUUAAGCCUUAACUUUAAUACUGUGUGUUUUUAUUGAGUCAAUAAUUUGUCCAGUUUCACAAGUGCUUUAGACAUAAAAAUCAUAAAACUGUACCUUUUCCAGGCUAAACUAAUAGUUACUAACAUAACCAGAACUGUACAGUUCCAAAGGGCUUCCUUACACUGUAUUUACCUAAGGGGCUGAACACUCAUCCCCUAAGCAUACAACAUAGUCUUUACUGUCCUGAAACCAGAGUAUUGUUUUCUUUUAAGGAGAACUCUAAUAGGCACUAAAUGUCAAAAAUCACUUUAAAAUCCUUAAAUAUUCAUCUUCAAAUAAAGUAACCAAGAAAGAACAAUAUUAAGACUUUCUUUUAUCUCAUAGUAAAAUAACUGAUGACUCGACUACACUCAACUUUUCUCCCAGGAAAUUUUAUUUGGAAUUUCUAAGAUAUCUUCAGUUUACAGACUCUUAAAAGAGAAACUUAAAUUUAAGUGAGUUACUUUGUAUUUAAAAGCCUAUUUUCCUCUCCUCAAUUAAAAUAAUAUGUGAUUGCAAGACAGUGGGUACCAUGGCUACAUACAUAUUGAUUUGCUUUCGCUCUUCUGACGGCAUUUCAAUUUCAAAACGUGUUUUUUUUUUUAUAAUGUGCUUUGCUUUUAGCCAUUCCAAUUGCAUUAUUUUCUGGUAUGAGAAAACUAGAACACAGUAUCAGCAAUCACGCAUUCUAAAAAGAUGCAAUUGAUUCUUAGGAUAAAAGAGCCAUUACCCACCACAUUUUAGCAUAAGCAGGUAUCAUGAUUCACAUUUCUAAGGACAGAUGAAACUCACUGAAGCACAAAUUUCUAUGUGUAUCUCAAUGCUGUGGUGAUGGUUUCCUAUAAACAUGCUUAGUAAAUGAAAUGCAAACAAAUACAGCAUUUAGGACUGCCACUACAGAAGCAGAUGUGGAAGAUAGCCAACUAAAGUUUUGUUGUUGUUGUUGUUGUUGUUUUUUUAACUUGGCUUCAGUUAACCAAUUUAACAUUCUUGGAGAGGCAUCAUAUAUACGGUGAGCUAGUAUUUAAACAGGGAGAGUGGCUUAACAUUCAGAUCCUGCAAUCUCUCUGACAGUCUUUAUGGAACAAUUUCUGAGGAGUUGAUGGCAAUUUUAAUUAUGAACAAGUAGCCAUUAGCCUGGAUCCUGUGAACUGUUCAACUGAUAACAUGAAACAGAAGUUUUUUCUGCAGGUGGGUUAACAACUGCUGCCAAAUACCUCUCUAUCUUUACAUCUUAGAGUAAGCCUAUAGCAGAUAGGUUGAAUAAUGUCCUCUGUCAAGAAUCCCCAAGUUGAAAAGUUCUAUUUCUUGUGAAAAAAAUAAAAAUAAAGGUGAUUGAUGCUAAAGGCUAGGCUCCUUGUGUCUUCAAAAGACAAAGUGAUCCUUUGAGACAAUACUGUUUCAUUUUAUAAGAUAUAUUUAAGCUAUCUCCCAUUUUAUUUUUCUGAAGUUGAAAUCAUAGGAAAGAUUAGCCCUCUAAAUUUAAUUGCCUAUAAUUUUGCUAUCAAGACAGCCCAUCAAAGAGCUCUACAAACAGAUUGUGAUUGAAAAUGAGAGACAAGUGUCUAGCUAUCUGCAAAACUAAUUUGAGCACUAAAUUAGAAUCACCCUGUUAUGCUUUGCCUGGAUCUUCUUCAUUUGCAUCUUGUGUACAUACCAACCCCCAAAUGCAUAUCUUCCUUUCACACAAGUCUAACAGUAUGCUAAAUGAUGGCAGAAUGCAUCUCCAGGGCUGAGCUUGCAAUCAGAUUGAUUUUUGAGAAUCAAAUUCCAACCCUAGGAAAUGAACAAAUUUCAGUGAUAUUGUUGACACAAAGAUCUAUAUAAAUAUAUUUGAGGGAAAGACAAGUGGGAAUAAAAAGGUAACUUCCAAUAUUAACAUGUAGUUAUUUAAGGGCAUCUUUGUGACUUUUUAGAAGAGUUCCAUCACAGCAGUGACUGAUUCUCUAAUUUCUCUCAACCAUAAUUGUUUUUAAACCAUCUUAGUAUAACUACUUGCUCCAAUUUGUUUUAAAAAGCAUUGCUCUUCCCGUUUCAAUAAAUAUGACUUCAAAUAAAACUUUAUCACAGACAGGAUGGGAAAAUGGCAUGAUAUGGGGUAAUUUCCUGUGAUCCAUGAGCCUCUUCUCAUGAAAUUUAUGUCAGCGUUGGCCUAGGUUGGACUCAGAGAACCUCACUAUUACUUGUUAUGGUUUUGCCAAUGUUGUUAUUGUCAUAUUUAGUUUUUACUAUAAUAAAUGAUCAGGUGCAAAAUGGAGGUGAGAAUUUUCAGGUAUAGAAACAUAGAGGGCUUAUGGUUUUUGAGGUUUUGCAACUUAAGUGAUCUAUGAGUAUGUGUCAAGUUGAGUAACUCUUAACUGAAUUCACAAACUCUAAUUCAAGUCUUUGCCUUACAGAGAUCUGUUUUUUUUUCCUUCUCAAUACUUCACAUUGGGAUAUUACUAAAUCAAAGAAAAUGUUUUGCUGCAAAGAAAGUAACUUUCCUACUUACUCAAAUUUUAUUUUCACAAGAAAGUAAUAUAAAUAUGAGAAAAUAUUAGAUGAUUCAUGGGAACCUACCUAGAAGUUUCCUUACUACAUAGCAGUAAACACUUGAAAAGAAAAAAAUAUAUAUUUCUCUCUCUCUCUCUCCCUCUCUCUCUCUCUCUCUCUCUCUCUCUAUAUAUAUAUAUAUAUAUAUAUAUAUAUAUACACAUAUAUAUACACACAUACACAUAUAUACAUAUAUAUGUGUUUGUGUUUGUGUGUACACACACACAAACACAUAUAUAUGAAUCUUUAUGUAUAAUUAUACAUAUUUAAUAAAUUUAUACAUAUGCAUAUAUUAUUUUAGGAGAAUAUUUAAAAACAACCAAAUUUAAAGUGUGAAGGGAGUUCAGAGGCCAUGUUAGCAGGAGAUUGUUAUAUACAGGUGAGCAGUGCCAGUUAUGCCCAUGCGUCUGCUUAUACUUAUCCCCAACUAGGCAAAAUGCACUUGUCAUAGUUUGGGUUUUCUGAGAUGCAAAUUAGGAGAUAAUAUUAGCAUGCAUUUCUUUUUCAGCUUUUAUUGACAAAUAAAAAUGUAUAUAUUUAAAUAUAUAUAUAUAUAUAUAUAUAUAUAUUUAGCAUAUAUAAUGUGAUAUGUGUAUACAUAUAUAAAAUGGUAAAACAAUUCCUACGGUGUCACAAACUAAUUAGCAAAUCCAUCACGUCACACAGUUUCUUUUUUUAAAAAUGUGAUAACAAUACACAAAUUCUGCUCUUUUAGCAAAUUUUAGGUACACCUAAUAUAUAUUUGUUGUGGUUGUGUUUGUUACUAUACUUGGAAUUGAACACAGUGCUUACCACUGAACUACAUGCCCAUUACUUUUUAUUUUUUAUUUGAGACAGGGUCUCUCAUUAAGUUGUCCAGGCUGGCCUCAAACAUGCGAUACCUGUGCCUCAACCUCUGGAGUCACUGGGGUUACUGGUGUGCGCUGCUGUCCUCAGCUCUUCACAGUAAAUGAUCAACUAUGUACACUGUGCUGUACAUUAGGUCCUCAAAUAACCACAAAUUUCUAACCUGUGAAAAACUUCUCAUUUCCCUCACCCUCUAACCCUCCUAGUAACCACCCUUCUAUAUUCAUUUUCUGAGUUUGGCUUUUUAAAAUUCUAUGUAGGGCUCUUAUUAGGGACUGCUUUGGGUUCUAGACCCUUUGGAAAGUAGGAGAAAAGGUAAGCAGUUUGGAUAAAGAGAAAAAUUUGUUUGUGAUUCAGUCCCAACAACUUGUCAACCUUCUCCACAGGGAGCUCUUUAGUUGGGCUGGAUUCCCAGAGUUGGCUCACAUUAGGGUGAACAAGGAUCUGGCUCCAGUACUCCUCUGUUGAUCAGGUAUUGAGUGAGAGUUUCACCUCACAGGAAUGAACUGAGGCGAGGUGGGCUCUUUGUUUUUGAUUAGAGCUCUCCCAAGUAGGGCUGCCAGCUGAGGGUCAUCUUGUUGAACUGCUCACAGUGAGGAGAGAAAGUCCUACUUCCCUUAAUGGACUACUGGAGAGGUAAUGACUCACUGCAUUUACCAAGGACUUCCUCAUGUUUUGUAUAAUGUGAUUUCCCAUAAAUAUCCUCAGACUCAACUCAUGUAAAAUACCAUCCUGUCUCUGCACACUUCCUUGACUUCUCAGGUAGGAUUGACCAUCCCCCUUUUAUUUAACUGCAGAAUCCUUUAAAGACAUAAUUAUAAAUAUUCAAAGUUCUUAUUACAAUAUUUUUUCUGCAUAUUGUUAUUUUCUACAAUACUCUGAGCUAUUUGGAGACAGGACAUAUCCCUCAUCCUUGUGUUUUUAUCACCUAGCAUAGGACCAAGAACAGAGUUUGUGCUCAAUGAAAGGACAAAUGAAUAGAUAAAUUACAACAAAGAACUGAUUCUAAUCCUCACUGAAAAACAGUUAAGGUGGAACAUUAAAAGAAUACUAGAGAUAAAAAGGAGACAGGUUUGCCCUUUGAGAAUGAUGUGCACUGAAGAAAAUGAGCCAGACAUGCAAGUUGAUUUCUAGUGGCUGUGUGUGUCCUAUGAAGGAGGAGAAUUCAUUUGAUCACACUGAGUAAAGAGUUUAUCGGCAUCUCCAGUGCAGUUAGGAAUGUGGGGGAAUAAAAAUUUUUAAUUGCAUAACACUUUCUAUCUUCUAAUAAGAGAGAUAAAGCAAGGGGAAAAUAAAAUAAAAAGACUACGGGCUGGGAUUGUGGCUCAGUGGUAGAACGUUCACUUAGCAUGGGCAGGACCCGAGUUCGAUUCUCAGCACCACAUAAAAAUAAAGGCAUUGUGCUGUAUCCAUCUACAAAAAAGAUUCUCUCUCUCUCUCUCCUUUAAAAAAAAAGACUAUGUGUAAUACAAGUCAUAAAAAUAAAAGCAAAUUUUUCUUGUUGGAAGGGAUUCACAGAAUAAGAAAAUAUAAUUAACUGGAAAGGUAAGCAAAAUUUCAGGAAGGUAGUAACUUUUGAACUUAACCUUCAUAUUUUUAUAACUAAAUGUGAUCAGUUUGGUGAUGUAUGCUAGGUCAUUUUCUCUUAGAAGCAAAAAGAAUGAAUUAAAUAUGGGAGACAAUUAAUGGGGAAAAUAAAAAUAAAGGAUGAAAGGAAAGGUAGUGGAAAUAGGAAGAACUUUAGAAAUUUAUACAGGGAAAAAAAACAUGAUGUAGAUCUGAUACCUAUGGUAUGACAGAGGGUAGUAGGAAAAUUGAAUAGAAAGUCUCAUAUUGCAGUGAAAUUUUGACAGAAUCUUAGACAGGCAGAUGGGGAAGCCUUGGAGCAAAGAUCACUCAUUACAGGAUAGCCACAAGCAGUCAUUUGCUGGGAGCAUCCCAGGAACAAUAUGGCCUUGGUACCAAUGCUGUGGUGAAUUCCAAAUAGAUGGCAGCUGGAAGGUUUCAGAAUUCCUUGAUUCAAGAUCUUUCUCUCUCUCUCUUUUUUUAAUUUUUUUUGGGGGUUGUAGAUGGACACAAUAUAUUUUAUUUAUUUUUAUGUGGUGCUGAGGAUCAAACCUAGUGCCUCACAUGUGCAAGGUAGGAGCUCUACCUCUGAGCUACAGCCCCAGCCCUCAAGUUCUCUCUUAAAGGAAGAUCUGAGCAGUGCAUACCAUAAAUGUCAUAGGCAGAAAAGAAAACAUUUCAGGAGAAGGAACCACACAGCUAAAGUCAUAGGAUACACAACUGAAAUCUUUGGUUGCAAAUGUUAACAGAAUCUAUGAGCAAACACUAGUGGCUAAGGAGUAAAGGCAGGCAACUAUCUAAGCCCCACCAUUAUUUUAAUUAUUUGUUUUGUUUAUAAUUUGUCUACUAGUUGAUAUGAUUACUCAUUUUUUCCUUCCUUCCUCCCUGCCUUCCUUCCUUCCUUCCUUCCUUCCUUCCUUCCUUCCUUCCUCUCGUCUUGCAUCAAAGAAAAUGCCUAUGAGCCCAACAGCAAUCAUAACCUUCUAACUAUAGUUGUUUAAAGAAAAAAUAUUUUUUUUCUUGCCAAUGACCUUCAAUAGCAGUGUCUCAUCCAUUUCCUAUUCCCAUAACUUAUGUGCUGUGCCUCUCUAACAAAGAAUGUGAGCCUCUUGCCCAGCUUCAUUGCAUAUUCUUUUCCAACACAAAAUACUUUCAGGGCUGAAAAUGAUUAAUUCUGAUAUAAUUCACAUAUGGAUAUGUUGGUAAAAUAUUUGUUGCUGCAUCUGUGCUGCAGCGUUUAUCUACCUCCUAUAGGAAAUCAGGUUUUGACAGGUGUUUUAUGUGUCCAAUUGUGAUACCUGCUUUCCCCGAAAGAAGUUAAGAAGCACAUAGCAGAAUGUUUUGAAUACCCUUUAUAACAAUUUAUCAGCAAUAAUUUGUUUGUUUGUGUGAGUUAAAAGUGGCCCUGGUGACUGGGACAGCCUGACCAAGAGAACAUACACUGACCCUUGAUUUUGUUAUAUUUUUUUUCCAGCUUCCUCUGGAAAUUAGCGCUGUGCUCUCAAAGCUGUGAAAACUCCCUUCAAAAGUGCUGAUUACUAGUUGUAUUAUAGGUUGAGAGGCUGCUCCAAUAAAGACCCCCUACACUUUAAAAGCUGACUUCUGGACUUGGUGUUCUUGAUUUCUGUCAGUAGUGGAAUACACUUUGAGAGGACAGAUGCACAUUCCUUUAACAUUCUUGAUGAAUCAGAGAAAUCUAUACCCUGCAUCUCCAAAGCAAAACAAACAAACAAACAAAAAAAAACCCAGCAGGAGUCCUGAGCAAAGGCAGUGAUUUCCUGUGCUGUGUCCCUUGGUACCAAUAAUGGCCCAGGGAACAGGAGACAGGAAAAGUUGGGAAAAAGACACAACUUCAGCCAAAGGAAGGGUAAACACUGGAGGAGACAGUUCCUUAGGGCAGAGUGGGAGCUGUGACUACUGGAAUUCAAGUGUACGUCUUCAACACAUCUACAGGGUUUUCCUGAUUGGGAAGUAGGGCACAAAUGGACUCGGGGUAACUGGGAGAUGAUGAAGAAGAAAGGGUGUAUGAAAGGGCUACAGAAUUUUGCUGCAUAAAACAUUCUACCCACACUUGCAUCUUAGAAAUACAACACAAUUUAUCUGUUAAAAAAAUGUUUGGGUGGGACAGGAAGUGAAAGAAGAUGGCAUGCUGAACAGGUUUUAUGUGUUGUGUAUUUUUAGUAUAUAUAUCACAGAGGUUGGUCUUGAUGUAUUUUCUUUAAAAUUUUGUUUUUAGUUAUGCUUAUUUGUUGUUCUUUAUCAUGUGAAAAAUUAAUUCCAGAACCAUUUCUGAAAUUAUACUUGAUUCAGAAAAUGGUAAGUAUUUAAAUCCCAGUAGAUGCAUGUACAUUAGAGAUUGAGAAUUCUGCUUUUUUUUUUUCUAGGAACACUUUUCAUUGUCUAAGAGGAAACAGAGCUCUCAUCUGCUGGGAUUUGAACUAAAGACCUUGAGAUCCCAAGGUGAAUGCUCCUUCACAGGACCUCAAAACAGUCUGCUUGGAAUAAAUGAAUCUCUGAUUAAUCCAAUUUAUGUUAAAAACAGUACAGAUAGGGCCUGCAUUUCCCGGAGAAGGAUGAAUCAGCUUUCAUGGUCUAUUGCAAAUGCUGCAUUCUUUGGGCCUUCAAACUGAAGAGAAGACCUUUGUUCACUGAGGGGAAAAGUUCUGCUAAUGGUGUGGCAUGUUACAGGAUUUAGGCCAAAGAAAACUGCCAAUGAUCCUGACUUUUUAAAGAAAACUUCUGAUUUUGUUGCCAUGCUUUACCCUGUUUUCUCCUGACCUAUAAAAAUAAUUU